UACGUAGGGUGCGAGCGUUGUCCGGAAUUAUUGGGCGUAAAGAGCUCGUAGGCGGUUUGUCGCGUCUGCUGUGAAAACCUAAGGCUCAACCUUGGGCUUGCAGUGGGUACGGGCAGACUAGAGUGCGGUAGGGGUGACUGGAAUUCCUGGUGUAGCGGUGGAAUGCGCAGAUAUCAGGAGGAACACCGAUGGCGAAGGCAGGUCACUGGGCCGCAACUGACGCUGAGGAGCGAAAGCGUGGGGAGCGAACAGG
Molecule: ribosomal RNA, 253 nt
Filed under: uncultured bacterium
Lineage: Bacteria
Description: partial 16S ribosomal RNA
Rfam family: Bacterial small subunit ribosomal RNA
Source: RNAcentral